GGCAUACAGGUUGGACACUCUGUGGCUUUGGAACACAUCGGAGUCAUUAUUGUUUUUACUCAUCAUUUUUUUAAUCAUCAACCCGGGGGAGAAAAAGCCACUGGAGUCAAUAAAUGUCAACACACUGUGGUGGGCUACUGGAGCAGAUCUAAUCUCUAUGGGGAGGAGGUUCCCAUGGUGGGCAUCAUAAUGGCUGAACGCCCCUUCACCUUGCUUGGUAUCGACUCCGGGGACAACUAGCUGACCAGUCACACUAACCCGUCACACUAGGUCUAAGUUCUCUAGCGGCAAAGGAAGAGAGAAACCACGCCACCUGGCCUUGAACACAAGUCUAUGGGGGUUGACUGCAACACCGAAGAUCCAGGUCAAUGUGACCAAACCAUACACAGCUCUGGUAGUGCCAAUACUCCAUCACAAUCCCAAAUCUUUAGAACAUUUCUGCCAUGAUGAGGUCUUACCCAGUGGUUCGAAGGCACACUGCUGUGCCAUGUGGCAAAGUGAGCUCAAAGUCAAGCUCCACCUGACCCAAUCAGCUCGGCAAAAUGGUAACGUUAAAAAAUUGGUUCCACGUUGAUCCCAUGGAUCAGAUGCUAUUUUAAUUCAUAUGUCGGUCUGUUUAUGACUCCUAUGUUUGUGUGUGGCUAUUUUGUUUUGAAUCUAUAAUCUUUUUUAAAAAAAGAAAGGCAUUAUUAAAGAUUAAAUUUCCUCCUGUUCAUCGUGCCCCACCUGACAUGUCUCUAUUGCCCACUAGUGG
Alosa sapidissima (American shad) is the source of this 754-nucleotide long non-coding RNA. RefSeq lists it as uncharacterized. Lineage: Eukaryota; Metazoa; Chordata; Actinopteri; Clupeiformes; Clupeidae. The transcript has 3 exons. The record is from RefSeq and is a predicted model, not a curated record.